GGAAUAGAGAAUAAUAGGUUAUGCGAAGACUUCUAAUUUUUGUCAUGGGCGAUUCGAGUUCGUUCUAUUCUU
Molecule: non-coding RNA, 72 nt
Organism: Mya arenaria
Lineage: Eukaryota; Metazoa; Mollusca; Bivalvia; Myida; Myidae
Source: the annotation of a RefSeq genome assembly